This 60-nucleotide transfer RNA is filed under the name Crotalus triseriatus triseriatus. RNAcentral describes it as "tRNA-His". Lineage: Eukaryota; Metazoa; Chordata; Lepidosauria; Squamata; Viperidae. The record is from RNAcentral.
GUGUGCGUAAUUUAAAGAAAAUAUCAAGUUGUGACCUUGAAAAUAGAUAGCCUCGCACAC